GCCGGCAUGGUGGCGCGUGCCUGUAAUCCCAGCUACUCGGGAGGCUGAGGCAGGAGAAUCGCUUGAACCCAGGAGGUGGAGGUUGCAGUGAGCUGAGAUUGCACCACUGCACUCCAGCCUGGGUGACACAGUGGGACUCUGUCUCAA
Molecule: non-coding RNA, 147 nt
Filed under: Pan troglodytes (chimpanzee)
Lineage: Eukaryota; Metazoa; Chordata; Mammalia; Primates; Hominidae
Source: Rfam by way of RNAcentral